CCUACGGGAGGCAGCAGUGGGGAAUUUUGGACAAUGGGCGCAAGCCUGAUCCAGCAAUGCCGCGUGCAGGAUGAAGGCCUUCGGGUUGUAAACUGCUUUUGUACGGAACGAAACGGUCCGCCUUAAUACGGUGGGCUAAUGACGGUACCGUAAGAAUAAGCACCGGCUAACUACGUGCCAGCAGCCGCGGUAAUACGUAGGGUGCGAGCGUUAAUCGGAAUUACUGGGCGUAAAGCGUGCGCAGGCGGUUAUAUAAGACAGAUGUGAAAUCCCCGGGCUCAACCUGGGACCUGCAUUUGUGACUGUAUAGCUAGAGUACGGUAGAGGGGGAUGGAAUUCCGCGUGUAGCAGUGAAAUGCGUAGAUAUGCGGAGGAACACCGAUGGCGAAGGCAAUCCCCUGGACCUGUACUGACGCUCAUGCACGAAAGCGUGGGGAGCAAACAGGAUUAGAUACCCUGGUAGUCCACGCCCUAAACGAUGUCAACUGGUUGUUGGGUCUUCACUGACUCAGUAACGAAGCUAACGCGUGAAGUUGACCGCCUGGGGAGUACGGCCGCAAGGUUGAAAACUCAAAGGAAUUGACGG
RNAcentral lists this ribosomal RNA (586 nucleotides) under uncultured bacterium. RNAcentral describes it as "bacterial SSU rRNA". It matches the Rfam family "Bacterial small subunit ribosomal RNA", at positions 338 to 916 of the family's 1533-position model. The record is from RNAcentral.